RNAcentral lists this transfer RNA (67 nucleotides) under Eurycotis floridana (Florida woods cockroach). Its description in RNAcentral is "tRNA-Glu". The record is from RNAcentral. Lineage: Eukaryota; Metazoa; Arthropoda; Insecta; Blattodea; Blattidae.
AUUUAUAUAGUUUAAAUAUUAAAACAUUACACUUUCACUGUAAAAAUAAAAACUAUUUUUAUAAAUA